GAAAUGCGAUAAGUAAUGUGAAUUGCAGAAUUCAGUGAAUCAUCGAAUCUUUGAACGCACAUUGCGCCCGCCAGCAUUCUGGCGGGCAUGCCUGUUCGAGCGUCAUUUCAACCAUCGAGCCCCCGGGCUUGUGUUGGGGACCUGCGGCUGCCCGCAGGCCCUGAAAACCAGUGGCGGGCUCGCUGUCACUCCGAGCGUAGUAGUAUCACCUCGCUCAGGGCGUGCUGCGGGUUCCGGCCGUUAAACGACCCAUUUACCCCCAAGGUUGACCUCGGAUCAGGUAGGAAUACCCGCUGAACUUAA
RNAcentral lists this unclassified non-coding RNA (303 nucleotides) under uncultured Madurella. Its description in RNAcentral is "sequence contains ITS1". The stretch from base 1 to 105 matches the Rfam family "5.8S ribosomal RNA", at positions 50 to 154 of the family's 154-position model. Lineage: Eukaryota; Fungi; Ascomycota. The record is from RNAcentral.